RNAcentral lists this ribosomal RNA (497 nucleotides) under uncultured bacterium. RNAcentral describes it as "partial 16S ribosomal RNA". It matches the Rfam family "Bacterial small subunit ribosomal RNA", at positions 28 to 507 of the family's 1533-position model. The record is from RNAcentral.
GGUGAACGCUGGCGGCGUGCCUAAUACAUGCAAGUCGAGCGAACGGACGAGAAGCUUGCUUCUCUGAUGUUAGCGGCGGACGGGUGAGUAACACGUGGAUAACCUACCUAUAAGACUGGGAUAACUUCGGGAAACCGGAGCUAAUACCGGAUAAUAUUUUGAACCGCAUGGUUCAAAAGUGAAAGACGGUCUUGCUGUCACUUAUAGAUGGAUCCGCGCUGCAUUAGCUAGUUGGUAAGGUAACGGCUUACCAAGGCAACGAUGCAUAGCCGACCUGAGAGGGUGAUCGGCCACACUGGAACUGAGACACGGUCCAGACUCCUACGGGAGGCAGUAGUAGGGAAUCUUCCGCAAUGGGCGAAAGCCUGACGGAGCAACGCCGCGUGAGUGAUGAAGGUCUUCGGAUCGUAAAACUCUGUUAUUAGGGAAGAACAUAUGUGUAAGUAACUGUGCACAUCUUGACGGUACCUAAUCAGAAAGCCACGGCUAACUACGUG